GAAGACAUACUUCAUUCAUGUGUCAAUUUUGUUAAUGCUGACUUCUAGGAGGAGAAGGGGACGACAGAGGAUGAGACGGCUGGAUGGCAUCACCGACUUGAUGGACAUGAGUUUGGGUGGACUCCGGGAGUUGGUGAUGGACAGGGAGGCCUGGCGUGCUGCAGUUCAUGGGGUUGCAAACAGCUGGACACCACUGAGCGACUGAACUGAACUGAACUGAAAGUACUGAAAAGGCGGUUGUGAGUAGUACACCAUAAAUAAGCUAUGAAGAUAAGGCUUCCCUUCAGUGUGAGACAAAGACAAUGAUGACGUGAUGAUACACAAAAUAUGCUUGAGAUGCCAAGAGGUUCCUGGGAAGGAGCUCCCGGUUCUGCUGGGAGAGUCGGGGGAGGCCUUUCUGAGGAGGGAGCACACCCUCCCUAAUGAGUAUACACCCGCCGUCAGGAGCUGGAGCAGGAGGAAGCAGAUGCCGAGAAAGCCAUCUUUCCAAAGACACAUGCACCCCAACGAGCACUGCAGCACCAGCUAUAAGAGCAACACCGAUAAACAGCAAAAUCCUCAGCAACAGACUAAAGCUUCAACAAGACGUGCUCCGUAUGGAUGAUGGACUGUCGCUCGGUCAUACCAAAACAACACUCAAUGAGGAAACUGUGCCCCUGGGAUCUGAUCGAGCCUACAUGGGGCUCGUGGCAGAAUGGCUCAUGAUGUUGACCUCGCAAACAAAGAAUAAAAUCACAGUGACCCUUGAGACUGACCAAAUUGCCCAAAUGGCACACUGUUUUCCCACUGGCACCUACCUUCUCAAAGCUGCAAGACCACAGGAUUCCAGACCUCUGGCUACGAGACCACAGGACUCACCUACAGGCUAAAAAUUAACUGUCCCUUCAGAGAAUUCUUCAUCGGCAGAUUAUAAGAAAGACCCCAUUGGAAAGGGAGGACACUGGUUCUGCUAAGGGCCAGUCACCUUCUUUUUUCCCUCUAAUAAAUUUC
This 990-nucleotide long non-coding RNA is filed under the name Capra hircus (goat). RNAcentral describes it as "lncRNA (ENSCHIG00000001105.1)". Lineage: Eukaryota; Metazoa; Chordata; Mammalia; Artiodactyla; Bovidae. The record is from RNAcentral.